Molecule: ribosomal RNA, 264 nt
Filed under: uncultured bacterium
Lineage: Bacteria
Description: partial 16S ribosomal RNA
Rfam family: Bacterial small subunit ribosomal RNA
Source: RNAcentral
GUCCACGCCCUAAACGAUGCACACUUGGUGUGGGCAGUUCAUUCUGUCUGUGCCGGAGUUAACGCGUUAAGUGUGCCGCCUGGGGAGUACGGUAGCAAGGCUGAAACUCAAAGGAAUUGACGGGGGCCCGCACAAGCGGUGGAGCAUGUGGUUCAAUUCGACGCAACGCGAAGAACCUUACCUGGGCUCGAACGGCUCACGAAAGCGCCUGGAAACAGGUGUUUCCCGCAAGGGACGGGAGUCGAGGUGCUGCAUGGCUGUCGU